UACGUAGGGUGCGAGCGUUGUCCGGAAUUAUUGGGCGUAAAGAGCUCGUAGGCGGUGUGUCACGUCGGCCGUGAAAACCUGGGGCUUAACUCUGGGCGUGCGGUCGAUACGGGCAUCACUAGAGUUCGGCAGGGGAGACUGGAAUUCCUGGUGUAGCGGUGAAAUGCGCAGAUAUCAGGAGGAACACCGGUGGCGAAGGCGGGUCUCUGGGCCGAUACUGACGCUGAGGAGCGAAGGCAUGGGUAGCGAACAGG
This 254-nucleotide ribosomal RNA is filed under the name uncultured bacterium. RNAcentral's name for it is "partial 16S ribosomal RNA". It matches the Rfam family "Bacterial small subunit ribosomal RNA", at positions 524 to 776 of the family's 1533-position model. The record is from RNAcentral.